GGAUAACAUACCGAAAGGUAUGCUAAUACGGGAUAAUAUAUCUGAGAGGCAUCUCUUGAAUAUCAAAGGUGAGCCAGUACAGGAUGACCCGCGUCUGAUUAGCUAGUUGGUAAGGUAACGGCUUACCAAGGCGACGAUCAGUAGCCGACCUGAGAGGGUGAUCGGCCACAUUGGAACUGAGACACGGUCCAAACUCCUACGGGAGGCAGCAGUGGGGAAUAUUGCACAAUGGGCGAAAGCCUGAUGCAGCAACGCCGCGUGAGUGAUGAAGGCCUUCGGGUCGUAAAACUCUGUCCUCAAGGAAGAUAAUGACGGUACUUGAGGAGGAAGCCCCGGCUAACUACGUGCCAGCAGCCGCGGUAAUACGUAGGGGGCUAGCGUUAUCCGGAUUUACUGGGCGUAAAGGGUGCGUAGGCGGUCUUUCAAGUCAGGAGUGAAAGGCUACGGCUCAACCGUAGUAAGCUCUUGAAACUGGGAGACUUGAGUGCAGGAGAGGAGAGUGGAAUUCCUAGUGUAGCGGUGAAAUGCGUAGAUAUUAGGAGGAACACCAGUUGCGAAGGCGGCUCUCUGGACUGUAACUGACGCUGAGGCACGAAAGCGUGGGGAGCAAACAGGAUUAGAUACCCUGGUAGUCCACGCUGUAGACGAUGAGUACUAGGUGUCGGGGGUUACCCCCUUCGGUGCCGCAG
This 689-nucleotide ribosomal RNA is filed under the name uncultured bacterium. Its description in RNAcentral is "bacterial SSU rRNA". It matches the Rfam family "Bacterial small subunit ribosomal RNA", at positions 141 to 851 of the family's 1533-position model. The record is from RNAcentral.